UACGUAGGGGGCAAGCGUUGUCCGGAAUCAUUGGGCGUAAAGCGCGUGUAGGCGGCCAGAAAAGUCCGCUGUGAAAACUCGAGGCUCAACCUCGAGCUGUCGGUGGAAACUUUCUGGCUAGAGUCCGGAAGAGGAGAAUGGAAUUCCUGGUGUAGCGGUGAAAUGCGCAGAUAUCAGGAGGAACACCGGUGGCGAAGGCGGGUCUCUGGGCAGUAACUGACGCUGAGGAGCGAAAGCGUGGGGAGCGAACAGG
RNAcentral lists this ribosomal RNA (253 nucleotides) under uncultured bacterium. RNAcentral describes it as "partial 16S ribosomal RNA". It matches the Rfam family "Bacterial small subunit ribosomal RNA", at positions 524 to 776 of the family's 1533-position model. The record is from RNAcentral.